AACGCACAUUGCGCCCUUUGGCAUUCCGAGGGGCAUGCCUGUUCGAGCGUCAUUAACAACCAUCAAGCCUGGCUUGCCGUUGAGCCCCGCCCGUGACAGGGCGGGCUCGAAAGACAGCGACGGCGUCGGUCGGACCCUAGAUGCAACGAGCUCUGAGUAGCACGCAUCGACCUGGCCGGCCGCGCCCGUCCCACCCCUUUUUAUCUCAGGUUGACCUCGGAUCAGGUAGGAAUACCCGCUGAACUUAA
Molecule: unclassified non-coding RNA, 248 nt
Filed under: Capronia sp.
Lineage: Eukaryota; Fungi; Ascomycota; Eurotiomycetes; Chaetothyriales; Herpotrichiellaceae
Also listed under: 2 other names
Description: partial contains 5.8S ribosomal RNA, internal transcribed spacer 2, and large subunit ribosomal RNA
Source: RNAcentral